Molecule: small RNA, 138 nt
Filed under: Salmonella enterica subsp. enterica serovar Saintpaul
Lineage: Bacteria; Pseudomonadati; Pseudomonadota; Gammaproteobacteria; Enterobacterales; Enterobacteriaceae
Description: RtT sRNA
Rfam family: RtT RNA
About the family: This family represents a bacterial cis-regulatory element known as RtT RNA. The exact function of RtT is unknown although it is thought that it may be involved in changing the cellular response in relation to amino acid starvation.
Source: RNAcentral
AUAUCUCUCCGUACGGGAAGGAUGAGAAGCUUCGACUAAGGUUCGAUUCGAGCGCAGCGAGAAAGCGUUGCCGCAGGCAACGACCCGAAGGGCGAAGGGCGAAGCGCGCAGCGCUGAGUAAUCCUUCCCCCACCACCA